UGAGGCUGACUUGCUUAGGAGCU
RNAcentral lists this microRNA (23 nucleotides) under Haemonchus contortus (barber pole worm). Its description in RNAcentral is "hco-miR-5911c". Lineage: Eukaryota; Metazoa; Nematoda; Chromadorea; Rhabditida; Trichostrongylidae. The record is from miRBase by way of RNAcentral.